AGGGCGCUAGUUACACGGAGUAGACCCGAAGCCCGUGCGAUCUAUCCAUGACCAGGUUGAAGCUAGGGUAACACCUAGUGGAGGACCGAACCGGUAGAUGUUGAAAAAUCUUCGGAUGAGUUGUGGAUCGGAGUGAAAGGCUAAAUCAAGCCGGGCGAUAGCUGGUUCUCCUCGAAAUAUAUUUAGGUAUAUCCUCGGACAACAUAUUUAGCGGGGGUAAAGCACUGACUGGACUAGGGGCCCUACCAGGCUACCAAAUCCAAAAUAGACUCUGAAUACCGCUAAAGUAAGAAUCCGGGAGACAGUUAGUGGGUGAUAAGGUCCACUAGCGAAAGGGAAAGACCCCAGACCAUCAGCUAAGGCCCCCAAAAUGUACACUCAGUGUUAAAGGAUGUGGAAGACUCCGCCAACUAGGAAGUUGGCUUAGAAGCAGCCAUCUUUUAAAGAAAGCGUAAUAGCUCACUAGUCAAGUCAGCCUGCGCCGAUAAUUCAACGGGGCUUAAGUGUACUGCCGAAGCUAUGGAUUCAAGUGAUCUGCGG
This 540-nucleotide ribosomal RNA is filed under the name uncultured bacterium. RNAcentral describes it as "bacterial LSU rRNA". It matches the Rfam family "Bacterial large subunit ribosomal RNA", at positions 689 to 1222 of the family's 2925-position model. The record is from RNAcentral.